UUCCGGUUGAUCCUGCCGGACCUGACUGCUAUCGGAUUGAUACUAAGCCAUGCGAGUCAUUGUAGCAAUACAAGGCAGACGGCUCAGUAACGCGUAGUCAACCUAACCUAUGGACGGGAAUAACCUCGGGAAACUGAGAAUAAUGCCCGAUAGAACACUAUAUCUGGAAUGGUUUGUGUUCCAAAUGAUUUAUCGCCGUAGGAUGGGACUGCGGCCUAUCAGUUUGUUGGUGAGGUAAUGGCCCACCAAGACUAUUACAGGUACGGGCUCUGAGAGGAGUAGCCCGGAGAUGGGUACUGAGACACGGACCCAGGCCCUAUGGGGCGCAGCAGGCGAGAAAACUUUGCAAUGUGCGAAAGCACGACAAGGUUAAUCCGAGUGGUUUCUGCUAAAGGAACCUUUUGUCGGUCCUAGAAACACCGAUGAAUAAGGGGUGGGCAAGUUCUGGUGUCAGCCGCCGCGGUAAAACCAGCACCUCAAGUGGUCAGGAUGAUUAUUGGGCCUAAAGCAUCCGUAGCCUGCUUUGUUAGUUUUCGGUUAAAUCUAUACGCUCAACGUAUAGGCUGCCGGGAAUACUGCAAAGCUAGGGAGUGGGAGAGGUAGACGGUACUCGGUAGGAAGGGGUAAAAUCCUUUGAUCUAUUGAUGACCACCUGUGGCGAAGGCGGUCUACCAGAACACGUCCGACGGUGAGGGAUGAAAGCUGGGGGAGCAAACCGGAUUAGAUACCCGGGUAGUCCCAGCCGUAACCAUGCAAACUCAGUGAUGCAUUGGCUUGUGGGCAAUGCAGUGCUGCAGGGAAGCCGUUAAGUUUGCCGCCUGGGAAGUACGUACGCAAGUAUGAAACUUAAAGGAAUUGGGCGGGGGAGCACCACAGGGGUGAAGCCUGCGGUUCAAUUGGAGUCACGCCGGGA
This 913-nucleotide ribosomal RNA is filed under the name uncultured archaeon. RNAcentral describes it as "bacterial SSU rRNA". It matches the Rfam family "Archaeal small subunit ribosomal RNA", at positions 1 to 923 of the family's 1478-position model. The record is from RNAcentral.